Molecule: long non-coding RNA, 508 nt
Organism: Archocentrus centrarchus (flier cichlid)
Lineage: Eukaryota; Metazoa; Chordata; Actinopteri; Cichliformes; Cichlidae
Exons: 4
Source: RefSeq, a predicted model, not a curated record
GACCAUGCUAAGGUGAAGAGGUGUUCAUCCUUGUAGGUCGUUCUUGCCCUUGGAAAGGCUUUGCUUGGAGUCUGCAUGCUCUGCUCUGUCUGUCUGAAAAGCCCACACCCCUUUCCUGACCCUCAACAGAGCAGUGUGAUGUCGAGAAGUAUUUCAGCGGUAAGAGGCUGACUUCAAUUCAGGAGAUGAGACUUGAGGUGACCUGGAUGAGGAUAAGGUGGAGAGGAAGAAAUCUCAGAAAUCUGGAAGUUUCUAACAGCGUUCUAUUGGGGAUAGAGGAUUAAUCAUGGUGUUUACAUACUACAAUGAUCUGUAGCUUCCAGUACUUAUACCCAACAAGGCCCAAAAAUGAUGCAUUACUGUGAGGUUUGUUUGUUUGCCUUCCUAAAUGUGCAUCUGGCCAUCUUUCUGUAAAACCAGCUGGCCAAACUCACCAUCUACUACUACUAAUAAACUUAUCUGUCAGCAACUUAUCUGUCAUGCAUUUUUGUGCCUAUCUUUUUAAACU